UACGAAGGGGGCUAGCGUUGUUCGGAAUCACUGGGCGUAAAGGGCGCGUAGGCGGCCGAUCAAGUCGGGGGUGAAAGCCUGUGGCUCAACCACAGAAUUGCCUUCGAUACUGUUUGGCUUGAGACCGGAAGAGGUUAGUGGAACUGCGAGUGUAGAGGUGAAAUUCGUAGAUAUUCGCAAGAACACCAGGGGCGAAGGCGGCUGACUGGUCCGGUUCUGACGCUGAGGCGCGAAAGCGUGGGGAGCAAACAGG
Molecule: ribosomal RNA, 253 nt
Filed under: uncultured bacterium
Lineage: Bacteria
Description: partial 16S ribosomal RNA
Rfam family: Bacterial small subunit ribosomal RNA
Source: RNAcentral